RNAcentral lists this ribosomal RNA (557 nucleotides) under uncultured bacterium. Its description in RNAcentral is "bacterial SSU rRNA". It matches the Rfam family "Bacterial small subunit ribosomal RNA", at positions 841 to 1397 of the family's 1533-position model. The record is from RNAcentral.
UUGUGGCGAAGUUAACGCGAUAAGUCGACCGCCUGGGGAGUACGGCCGCAAGGUUAAAACUCAAAUGAAUUGACGGGGGCCCGCACAAGCGGUGGAGCAUGUGGUUUAAUUCGAUGCAACGCGAAGAACCUUACCUACUCUUGACAUCCUGCGAACUUGUGAGAGAUCACUUGGUGCCUUCGGGAGCGCAGAGACAGGUGCUGCAUGGCUGUCGUCAGCUCGUGUUGUGAAAUGUCGGGUUAAGUCCCGUAACGAGCGCAACCCUUGUCCUUAUUUGCCAGCGGGUAAUGCCGGGAACUCUAAGGAGACUGCCGGUGACAAACCGGAGGAAGGUGGGGACGACGUCAAGUCAUCAUGGCCCUUACGAGUAGGGCUACACACGUGCUACAAUGGCCGGUACAAAGGGUUGCGAGCUCGCGAGAGUCAGCUAAUCCCGAAAAGCCGGUCUCAGUCCGGAUCGGAGUCUGCAACUCGACUCCGUGAAGUCGGAAUCGCUAGUAAUCGUGAAUCAGAAUGUCACGGUGAAUACGUUCCCGGGCCUUGCACACACCGCCCGU